CCGAAUUGUCGACACGAGUUGUUGCUGGUCCCCACAUGGGGGCAUGUGCACGCUCUGUUCGCACAUCCACUCACACCUGUGCACCCUCUGUAGUUCUGUGGCCUGUGGGGCUCUGCCCUCUUGCUGUGGUUCUAUGUCUUUACACACACACACUGUAAUAAAGUCUUAUGGAAUGUAUGUCGCGUUUAACGCAAUACAAUA
Molecule: unclassified non-coding RNA, 201 nt
Filed under: uncultured Thelephoraceae
Lineage: Eukaryota; Fungi; Basidiomycota; Agaricomycetes; Thelephorales; Thelephoraceae
Description: sequence contains ITS1
Source: RNAcentral